Molecule: ribosomal RNA, 483 nt
Filed under: uncultured bacterium
Lineage: Bacteria
Description: partial 16S ribosomal RNA
Rfam family: Bacterial small subunit ribosomal RNA
Source: RNAcentral
GACGAACGCUGGCGGCGUGCUUAACACAUGCAAGUCGAACGGAAAGGCUCCAGCUUGCUGGAGUACUCGAGUGGCGAACGGGUGAGUAACAAGUGGGUAAUCUGCCCUGCACUCUGGGAUAAGCCUGAGAAACUGGGUCUAAUACUGGAUAUGACCUUUCUCCUUAUGGGGUUUGGUGGAAAGUUUUUCGGUGUAGGAUGAGCCCGCGGCCUAUCAGCUUGUUGGUGGGGUGAUGGCCUACCAGGGCGACGACGGGUAGCCGGCCUGAGAGGGUGAUCGGCCACAUUGGGACUGAGAUACGGCCCAGACUCCUACGGGAGGCAGCAGUGGGGAAUAUUGCACAAUGGGCGGAAGCCUGAUGCAGCUACGCCGCGUGAGGGAUGACGGCCUUCGGGUUGUAAACCUCUUUCAGCAGGGACGAAGCGUAAGUGACGGUACCUGCAGAAGAAGCACCGGCUAACUACGUGCCAGCAGCCGCAGUAA